GGUUAAGCGACUAAGCGUACACGGUGGAUGCCCUGGCAGUCAGAGGCGAUGAAGGACGUGCUAAUCUGCGAUAAGCGUCGGUAAGGUGAUAUGAACCGUUAUAACCGGCGAUUUCCGAAUGGGGAAACCCAGUGUGAUUCGUCACACUAUCAUUAACUGAAUCCAUAGGUUAAUGAGGCGAACCGGGGGAACUGAAACAUCUAAGUACCCCGAGGAAAAGAAAUCAACCGAGAUUCCCCCAGUAGCGGCGAGCGAACGGGGAGCAGCCCAGAGCCUGAAUCAGUGUGUGUGUUAGUGGAAGCGUCUGGAAAGGCGCGCGAUACAGGGUGACAGCCCCGUACACAAAAAUGCACAUGCUGUGAGCUCGAUGAGUAGGGCGGGACACGUGGUAUCCUGUCUGAAUAUGGGGGGACCAUCCUCCAAGGCUAAAUACUCCUGACUGACCGAUAGUGAACCAGUACCGUGAGGGAAAGGCGAAAAGAACCCCGGCGAGGGGAGUGAAAAAGAACCUGAAACCGUGUACGUACAAGCAGUGGGAGCACGCUUCGGCGUGUGACUGCGUACCUUUUGUAUAAUGGGUCAGCGACUUAUAUUCUGUAGCAAGGUUAACCGAAUAGGGGAGCCGAAGGGAAACCGAGUCUUAACUGGGCGUUAAGUUGCAGGGUAUAGACCCGAAACCCGGUGAUCUAGCCAUGGGCAGGUUGAAGGUUGGGUAACACUAACUGGAGGACCGAACCGACUAAUGUUGAAAAAUUAGCGGAUGACUUGUGGCUGGGGGUGAAAGGCCAAUCAAACCGGGAGAUAGCUGGUUCUCCCCGAAAGCUAUUUAGGUAGCGCCUCGUGAAUUCAUCUCCGGGGGUAGAGCACUGUUUCGGCAAGGGGGUCAUCCCGACUUACCAACCCGAUGCAAACUGCGAAUACCGGAGAAUGUUAUCACGGGAGACACACGGCGGGUGCUAACGUCCGUCGUGAAGAGGGAAACAACCCAGACCGCCAGCUAAGGUCCCAAAGUCAUGGUUAAGUGGGAAACGAUGUGGGAAGGCCCAGACAGCCAGGAUGUUGGCUUAGAAGCAGCCAUCAUUUAAAGAAAGCGUAAUAGCUCACUGGUCGAGUCGGCCUGCGCGGAAGAUGUAACGGGGCUAAACCAUGCACCGAAGCUGCGGCAGCGACACUAUGUGUUGUUGGGUAGGGGAGCGUUCUGUAAGCCUGUGAAGGUGUGCUGUGAGGCAUGCUGGAGGUAUCAGAAGUGCGAAUGCUGACAUAAGUAACGAUAAAGCGGGUGAAAAGCCCGCUCGCCGGAAGACCAAGGGUUCCUGUCCAACGUUAAUCGGGGCAGGGUGAGUCGACCCCUAAGGCGAGGCCGAAAGGCGUAGUCGAUGGGAAACAGGUUAAUAUUCCUGUACUUGGUGUUACUGCGAAGGGGGGACGGAGAAGGCUAUGUUGGCCGGGCGACGGUUGUCCCGGUUUAAGCGUGUAGGCUGGUUUUCCAGGCAAAUCCGGAAAAUCAAGGCUGAGGCGUGAUGACGAGGCACUACGGUGCUGAAGCAACAAAUGCCCUGCUUCCAGGAAAAGCCUCUAAGCAUCAGGUAACAUCAAAUCGUACCCCAAACCGACACAGGUGGUCAGGUAGAGAAUACCAAGGCGCUUGAGAGAACUCGGGUGAAGGAACUAGGCAAAAUGGUGCCGUAACUUCGGGAGAAGGCACGCUGAUAUGUAGGUGAAGUCCCUCGCGGAUGGAGCUGAAAUCAGUCGAAGAUACCAGCUGGCUGCAACUGUUUAUUAAAAACACAGCACUGUGCAAACACGAAAGUGGACGUAUACGGUGUGACGCCUGCCCGGUGCCGGAAGGUUAAUUGAUGGGGUUAGCGGUAACGCGAAGCUCUUGAUCGAAGCCCCGGUAAACGGCGGCCGUAACUAUAACGGUCCUAAGGUAGCGAAAUUCCUUGUCGGGUAAGUUCCGACCUGCACGAAUGGCGUAAUGAUGGCCAGGCUGUCUCCACCCGAGACUCAGUGAAAUUGAACUCGCUGUGAAGAUGCAGUGUACCCGCGGCAAGACGGAAAGACCCCGUGAACCUUUACUAUAGCUUGACACUGAACAUUGAGCCUUGAUGUGUAGGAUAGGUGGGAGGCUUUGAAGUGUGGACGCCAGUCUGCAUGGAGCCGACCUUGAAAUACCACCCUUUAAUGUUUGAUGUUCUAACGUUGACCCGUAAUCCGGGUUGCGGACAGUGUCUGGUGGGUAGUUUGACUGGGGCGGUCUCCUCCUAAAGAGUAACGGAGGAGCACGAAGGUUGGCUAAUCCUGGUCGGACAUCAGGAGGUUAGUGCAAUGGCAUAAGCCAGCUUGACUGCGAGCGUGACGGCGCGAGCAGGUGCGAAAGCAGGUCAUAGUGAUCCGGUGGUUCUGAAUGGAAGGGCCAUCGCUCAACGGAUAAAAGGUACUCCGGGGAUAACAGGCUGAUACCGCCCAAGAGUUCAUAUCGACGGCGGUGUUUGGCACCUCGAUGUCGGCUCAUCACAUCCUGGGGCUGAAGUAGGUCCCAAGGGUAUGGCUGUUCGCCAUUUAAAGUGGUACGCGAGCUGGGUUUAGAACGUCGUGAGACAGUUCGGUCCCUAUCUGCCGUGGGCGCUGGAGAACUGAGGGGGGCUGCUCCUAGUACGAGAGGACCGGAGUGGACGCAUCACUGGUGUUCGGGUUGUCAUGCCAAUGGCACUGCCCGGUAGCUAAAUGCGGAAGAGAUAAGUGCUGAAAGCAUCUAAGCACGAAACUUGCCCCGAGAUGAGUUCUCCCUGACCCUUUAAGGGUCCUGAAGGAACGUUGAAGACGACGACGUUGAUAGGCCGGGUGUGUAAGCGCAGCGAUGCGUUGAGCUAACCGGUACUAAUGAACCGUGAGGCUUAACCUU
This 2905-nucleotide ribosomal RNA is filed under the name Escherichia coli. RNAcentral describes it as "23S ribosomal RNA". It matches the Rfam family "Bacterial large subunit ribosomal RNA". The record is from RNAcentral. Lineage: Bacteria; Pseudomonadati; Pseudomonadota; Gammaproteobacteria; Enterobacterales; Enterobacteriaceae.